RNAcentral lists this ribosomal RNA (1803 nucleotides) under bacterium. RNAcentral describes it as "partial 23S ribosomal RNA". It matches the Rfam family "Bacterial large subunit ribosomal RNA", at positions 1083 to 2925 of the family's 2925-position model. The record is from RNAcentral.
GCAGUGACAAUCAGGAGGUUUGCCUAGAAGCAGCCACCCUCUAAGGAGUGCGUAAUAGCUCACUGAUCACGCGCUUUUGCGCCGAAAAUGACCGGAACUAAGUUUUUUGCCGAAGCUGUGGCUACAUCACACAGAUGAUGUAGGGUAGAGGAGCGUUCCGCCCAGGGGGAAGCCAAGCGCGUAAGCCGCGGUGGACAGGGCGGAAGUGAGAAUGUCAGCUUGAGUAACGCAAACAUUGGUGAGAAUCCAGUGCCCCGAAAACUCAAGGGUUCCUGCGCAAGGCUCGUCCGCGCAGGGUCAGUCAGGACCUAAGGUGAGGCCGAAAGGCGUAAUUGAUGGCAAGAAGGUUUAUAUUCCUUCACUAGUCUAGGCUUAGUCCUGAGGGACGAACAAAUAACACUCGGCACAAUGGCCUUCCAUGGUAGGAAGGGUUAAACCAUUGUUGUUUGAUGAUAUUUUUUCCAAGAAAAGCUCAUUCGACUUUGAGUCUAGACUACCUGUACCGUAAACCGACACAGGUGAGUGGGUUGAAUAAACUAAGGGGAGCGAGAUAACUCUCUCUAAGGAACUCGGCAAAUUGGCUCUGUACCUUCGGAAGAAAGAGUGCCCCUCAGGGGGCCGCAGUGAAGAGAUCCAGGCGACUGUUUACCAAAAACACAGGUCUCCGCAAAGUCGUAAGACGACGUAUGGGGGCUGACACCUGCCCAGUGCCAGAAGGUUAAAGAAGUUGGUCAAUCUUUGAUGAAGCUAACGACUGAAGCCCUGGUGAACGGCGGCAGUAACUAUAACUGUCCUAAGGUAGCGAAAUUCCUUGUCGGGUAAGUUCCGACCCGCACGAAAGGUGUAACGAUCUGGAUACUGUCUCAGAGAGAGACUCGGUGAAAUAAAACUAUCUGUGAAGAUGCGGAUUACCUGCACACGGACAGAAAGACCCUAUGAAGCUUUACUGUAACCUGGAAUUGCUCUCAAGCUUAUCUUGCGCAGCUUAGGUGGGAGGCUAUGAACCUUUUCUUCUGGGAAGAGGGGAGCCAUCAGUGAGAUACCACUCUUGGUAAGCUAGAGCGCUCAGUCUUCACCGUCAUCCGGUAAGACGACAGUUUCAGGCGGGCAGUUUGACUGGGGCAGUCACCUCCCAAAAGGUAAUGGAGGUGUGCAAAGGUUCCCUCAGGCUGGACGGAAAUCAGCCAUAGAGUGUAAAAGCAAAAGGGAGCUUGACUGCGAGACUGACAUGUCAAGCAGAGACGAAAGUCGGCUUUAGUGAUCCGACGGUGCUGUGUGGAAAGGCCGUCGCUCAACGGAUAAAAGUUACUCUAGGGAUAACAGGCUAAUCUCCCCCAAGAGUUCACAUCGACGGGGAGGUUUGGCACCUCGAUGUCGGCUCGUCGCAUCCUGGAGCGGAAGUACGUUCCAAGGGUUGGGCUGUUCGCCCAUAGAAAGCGGCACGCGAGCUGGGUUCAGAACGUCGUGAGACAGUUUGGUCCAUAUCCUGUGUAGGCGUUUAGAGCAUUGAAAGGAUCUCCCCUUUGUACGAGAGGACCAGGUGGGGACAGACCGCUAGUGUACCAGUUAUCCCACCAGGGGUAAACGCUGGGUAGCUAUGUCUGGAGUAAAUAACUGCUGAAAGCAUAUAAGUAGGAAGUUCACCUUAAGAUGAGUGCUCUUUUGUCUCAACCGUUCAGUUUUACUGACAAAUGAAAGACAAGGAAGGUCACGGCAAGACGAGCCGUUUGAUAGGCAUGAAGUAGAAGUGCAGUAAUGCAUUCUGAAGCUGACAUGUGCUAAUAGACCGAGGGAUUUGAUUUU